Molecule: ribosomal RNA, 867 nt
Filed under: Sarocladium kiliense
Lineage: Eukaryota; Fungi; Ascomycota; Sordariomycetes; Hypocreales; Sarocladiaceae
Description: partial large subunit ribosomal RNA
Rfam family: Eukaryotic large subunit ribosomal RNA
Source: RNAcentral
AGCGGAGGAAAAGAAACCAACAGGGAUUGCUCAGUAACGGCGAGUGAAGCGGCAACAGCUCAAAUUUGAAAUCUGGCCGCAAGGUCCGAGUUGUAAUUUGUAGAGGAUGCUUUUGGCGAGGUGCCUUCCGAGUUCCCUGGAACGGGACGCCAUAGAGGGUGAGAGCCCCGUACGGUAGGACCACCAAGCCUCUGUAAAGCUCCUUCGACGAGUCGAGUAGUUUGGGAAUGCUGCUCUAAAUGGGAGGUGUACGUCUUCUAAAGCUAAAUACCGGCCAGAGACCGAUAGCGCACAAGUAGAGUGAUCGAAAGAUGAAAAGCACUUUGAAAAGAGGGUUAAAAAGUACGUGAAAUUGUUGAAAGGGAAGCAUUCAUGACCAGACUUGGGCUUGGUUGAACAUCCGGCGUUCUCGCCGGUGCACUCUGCCAGUCCAGGCCAGCAUCAGUUUGCCCCGGGGGAUAAAGGCGGCGGGAAUGUGGCUCCCUUCGGGGAGUGUUAUAGCCCGUCGUGUAAUGCCCUGGGGCGGACUGAGGAACGCGCUUCGGCACGGAUGCUGGCGUAAUGGUCAUCAAUGACCCGUCUUGAAACACGGACCAAGGAGUCGUCUUCGUAUGCGAGUGUUCGGGUGUCAAACCCCUACGCGUAAUGAAAGUGAACGUAGGUGAGAGCUUCGGCGCAUCACCGACCGAUCCUGAUGUUCUCGGAUGGAUUUGAGUAAGAGCAUACGGGGCCGGACCCGAAAGAAGGUGAACUAUGCCUGUAUAGGGUGAAGCCAGAGGAAACUCUGGUGGAGGCUCGCAGCGGUUCUGACGUGCAAAUCGAUCGUCAAAUAUGGGCAUGGGGGCGAAAGACUAAUCGAACCUUCUA